CUUUCCUGCCUCAGUGUCUUCAUACUUUGUUUCUUCAGACUGGAAGACUUUUCUCCUCUUAAGUGUAGUCAUGUCCUUUAUCACUUAACUGUCAGCUUAAAUGAGUCUAUGAGCAACCUUCCUUGAAUCACAAGUGUUUUGAUGGGGCUCUUCUGCCAGACUGUAAGUUAUACUGUGAGAACAUGUUCUCCUUUGACCAAUAGCUAAGACCUUUUAGCAGCAGAAUAUAUUUCAAUAUAACAGUGAAAAUCAGUGCAGGACAUUCUCACUGAGAGACCAGGGAAUGAGGGAUCACCUGGAUAGUGGAGGAAGGACAAGGAUGAUACUAACCAGGUUUGAGGUGAUAGCUUGAGCAUCACUGAGUUCAACCUAGGACUUAGGUCCAGAAAGGUUUGGGAGAGAGCCAUCGUGUCCCUUAACAGGGCCACACUAUGCAGUUUGGAGUUUCUUGAUGUAACAGUGGAGGCCUAGAAAUAGCCUAUGUGCCCAAGAAUCCUUUUCCCUCAGGAAGCAAUGCCAAACUGUAAUGGAGCCAAUGUGAUGGUGAUUCUGCCAGUCUAGUUAACAGGAAAAUCAAACAAGCUCAUAGAAGUUAGCUGACAGAAUUCAUAGGAAGAACUGGAUCCGGAGGAAUUAGAUGGUUAAAGAAUCUAAUUACGCACCCAAUUGGCAUCCUGCUCUCAGCCUUCACAUCUGAUCAUGGGUCCUCAUCCUACAACGAGGGAUUCUAAGUUUUAUCCUUGAAGUGUAUGAAAAGCUACUUCCUGAAUAUGAGGGCUGAGCUAUGUCUUCAUUCUCAUAUUUCAGAAUAAAGAUCCAUAAUCCUAGUAAAUUCUGAAGCUACUGUGUCAUGAAAUGCAGAAGUUCACAAACAUCUGUCAACACUUGCUGAUGAGACUGCUGAAGCAGCAAGGUUAGAUUGUCCUCACCUGCAGCGACCUACCUUUGGAGAAGAGAUCCUGGAUCCAGCGUAACACAAAUGAAGAUUCUUCUGUUUCAGGCUGUGAUGACUCUUGGUAGGAAUAUCUCAGCAUCAUGUGAUUCCUACCACGUGAGAAUGGAGCAAAGCAGCCUCUUUGCCGCCCCAAGCUCAGUGCUCCGUAGACUGAAAAGAAGAUGCAGUCGACAAACAGCUGAGGAGGCUUCAUGAAUGCUGCACACAGCAACUUCAGAGUUCCUCUCUGAACAGGUCUCCAGUUGAUUGGAUGAGAUCCAGCUGCCUUAGGGAGGGCGUCUGCUCAGCUCAGUCUACCAAUUCGAAUAUUAAGCUCAUCCAGAUACACCCUCUCAGACACCCCCAGAAAGUAUGACCAAA
This 1315-nucleotide long non-coding RNA is filed under the name Equus caballus (horse). RNAcentral describes it as "lncRNA (ENSECAG00000047850.1)". Lineage: Eukaryota; Metazoa; Chordata; Mammalia; Perissodactyla; Equidae. The record is from RNAcentral.